AUUUUAGUCUUUAAUUUUUGUCAAGUUUUAUUCAUCGUUCUGUUCAAAAUCGUAUGAUGAAUUUAUUACCAUUUUUAUUGUCAAAUUCUCAAUCUAAGAAGUUAUCAUAUGGAUUAACUUCAAAAUCUUGCAAUUCCACCUUAGUAAGUGUUAUAUUUGUUCUAUUGAAUGAUUGAAUCGAUGAAUUAGGGUUUUCUAUACAAGUUAUCUUUUGGCGAGGAAUUAUUUGGUUGAUUUCCUCUAUUUUGUCUAGAAUAUAUAUUGAUCAUUGCUUUAGCACAUGCAGUAGAUAUACUACCUCUGUUUUUUUUUAGUUGCAACGUUUGAUUAUUAUAAUUUAUUCACCAGAAAGGCAAAUGUUGCAUAUAAAAAAACGGAGAAAGUUUUUAAACUUAUAGUGGACAUUGAGCUUGGUGCAUGAUUAUUAUUGAAGCUAAUUUGUUACAAUUCUUUAACAAUGGUAAGAGGUGAUGAGUAGUUCCGGAUCCGUGCAUUUGUAUCAUAUCAAAAUUUCCAAUUAGUUCCACUCUCUUCAAGCAUAAUUUAGGGUUUCGAUUGUCUAGAGAAAUGUUUGAUCGUUUGCUUUCUUUUGCGUAGUGCUAAAUUGGGCAUCAAAUCUUUGUUAUCAUUUAUCUAUCACAUGAAUUGUAGAAUUUUUAUAUUUGAGGAACAUUGCCUGCUUACAAAUUUUAUAUCUUGAUUGUUUUUUUUCUUUAAUUUAGGGGGGUAGUACUAAAUAUGUAAAAUCUCAUUGUAUUGAACGAUUCCGGUUGCUUUAUUUGUGCCCCCGCCCCUUUCUCAUACUCAAUUGGUUUUUUUAGCUGAUUCAGGAAAAGUUGAGUAUUGUAUGUUUUGAGGGUGUAGCAAAUGGCUGCUGCACUAUUGUAGGAACUAUACGUUCCAGAAGGUAUCCUGCGGCCUUUGGUGAAGGUUUCGAGUUCAUCAGAUAUUGCAUCCUAGCAUAUACUCAGAGAUGUAUUACAGUCACUCUCUGAUAAAUCAGCAAUGUCUGUCUCUUGGACUUUUUUAAAAACCUUUGCGUAUAAGAGUUAGUAAUACAGAACUUGUUCGUUGAACAUAGUGCUACCAGUGUCAUUUCAAGUGCAAUCAAUGCUGUGGGGUUUGAUUCUGAUGAUUCAGAAUGUGCAUAUAGGCAACUACACAUACAUUCUUACAUUCUUAGAGGUGGUAAGAGAUGCUUCACUGGCCGGGAGAAGUAAUGUGUGCAAUAGAGAGCCAGAUUAUGUCUGGUUGUUUCUUAAAUUUGCUAGAAUUCACAAGAGGGAAAGAUGUGAUCCUUGUGUGAUUAUUUAUACUUGUGUUCUGAGCUUUGUAGAAAUCCAGAAUUGGCUAUUAUGGUGGGAACUAUCUGGACAGCCUCAGAAUGACUUUAUUUUUCAUUCAAAAUUCUUUAUAUUUACAUGCUUAUAGUUUAAUUUGUGUUCUUUUUCAACAUCUCUAGCAGUUGGCUUUGGAGAAGAUUGGCUAAAGUUACUUUCAAGAAAAUGUUUCAAGGAAUCUCAUUUCCUGCAUCAAAUAAUAUGUUCAAAUGGUGGCCAUAAUCUGGGAGAUACUGAAGGCAUAUUUAAAAAUGAUGUCAAAGCUGUUUAAUGUUACACUAGGAGAAUGUAUGGUCUCCCCGCAGUCCCUCCUUCCAUUGAAGUCCUCGGAUAUUCAUUCACUAUUUCAAGGGAUGCAUGUGCACAUGGUAGUUCAGUGGUUGUUUAUACUGAAGAAGGUGUGGAUUCAUUGGUAUCAAAGGGGCCUCUUGGAGAUGCUUUCAUCUCUUCUUCUGUCCUUGUCCUUGAGAUCAAUACCAUCAUCAAACAGGAAAACCAUAAUAUGGGCGAGAUUCAAGGUAACUAUCAGGUCAUCAAAGGUGUGUGCACUCAAGGCUCUCGAAGAGACAUUGCUGCAGAUUGCUUGUAUGGAAGGAUGUACAAACAGAAGCGAGAGCAAAUGAUGGGACCAUUCUCCUGUUACAGCAAUGCAUUCUUAAUGAAGACAUUUCAGUCUUAAGGGAAUGGUGCAUAUGGUGUGCAAGUGCUAGCAAAUUGAUGCAAAGUAUAGUAUAAAACAAGCAGCGAGUGGCUGACUUCGAGAUUUCUGAAUUAGCUGAGCUAGGAUUCUGAGUGAAAGUAGACCUAGAAUGCUAAGCUUCUAGAUAUCAACCGACGUACAUGUGCUAUCAAAGUGAAAGGGUAUGCUAUGCCUUACAAUGGUGUAUUUGUCCUGCAAUUUCAUGAUAUAUUAAGUAUUAACCACUUAUUCCUUAUAAA
This is a long non-coding RNA of Beta vulgaris subsp. vulgaris (sugar beet), 2279 nucleotides long. RefSeq lists it as uncharacterized. The transcript has 2 exons. The record is from RefSeq and is a predicted model, not a curated record. Lineage: Eukaryota; Viridiplantae; Streptophyta; Magnoliopsida; Caryophyllales; Amaranthaceae.